CCUACGGGAGGCAGCAGUGGGGGAUAUUGCACAAUGGGGGAAACCCUGAUGCAGCGACGCCGCGUGAGUGAAGAAGUAUCUCGGUAUGUAAAGCUCUAUCAGUAGGGAAGUAAAUGACAGUACCUGACCAAGAAGCUCUGGCUAACUACGUGCCAGCAGCGGCGGUAAUACGGAGGGGGCAAGCGUUAUCCGGAUUUACUGGGUGUAAAGGGAGCGUAGUCGGUUAGGUAAGUCUGUGGUGAAAGCCCGGGGCCCAACCCCGAGACUGCCUUGGAAACUGUGUGACUGGAGUACAGGAGGGGCAGGCGGAAUUCGUGGUGUAGCGGUGAAAUGCGUAGAUAUCAGGAAGAACACCGACGGCGAAGGCAGCCUGCUGGACUGAAACUGACGUUGAGGCUCGAAAGCGUGGGGAGCAAACAGGAUUAGAUACCCGAGUAGUC
Molecule: ribosomal RNA, 440 nt
Filed under: uncultured bacterium
Lineage: Bacteria
Description: partial 16S ribosomal RNA
Rfam family: Bacterial small subunit ribosomal RNA
Source: RNAcentral